AAAGAAAGUAACUAAAAGAAUUAAGCAAAAUUAAUUGUAGACGGAUAUUUCAUACAUAAAGUUAAACAAGUUGAUUGAUCUGCAAUCUAUUCCAAUUACAAAUAUGCAAGAUAACGAUGUCGAACGAUACUUGAAGGAGAGUUCGAAAAGUUAUAAAGAAGCAAAAGUAAAGAAUUAUGCGAGGAGGAGCUCGCUGCAGAAACGAACACUUGGUAUUGAGACAGAGAAAAGAAUAGCAGCUGCCAGCUUUAGCAGAGAAGAAAAACAAUUAAGAGAACAACUGAAACAGAUGAAAAUAGAAAAAAAGAAAUAUUCCAUCAUAAACGACUUGAGAG
RNAcentral lists this long non-coding RNA (335 nucleotides) under Mytilus galloprovincialis (Mediterranean mussel). Lineage: Eukaryota; Metazoa; Mollusca; Bivalvia; Mytilida; Mytilidae. The record is from RNAcentral.